Long non-coding RNA from Tupaia belangeri chinensis (Chinese tree shrew), 2042 nucleotides. RefSeq lists it as uncharacterized. The record is from RefSeq and is a predicted model, not a curated record. The transcript has 3 exons. NCBI's taxonomy places the organism in Eukaryota, Metazoa, Chordata, Mammalia, Scandentia, Tupaiidae.
UGAGCGGCUUCCCGCCGGGGCUGUGCUUCCCGGCCCCGGAUGCUGUGCGGGCAGGGGCCGGGGGCAGCUUGCAGCAGCGCUUGGGGGCAGUUCGAGGGCUCUCCGGCCCCUCUGGCACGUCAGGGCAGUUGCCCCAGUUCCUGAACUCCUGCAGAGGCUCUCAGCACAUCAGCCUCCUUGUGCCAGAGAGCGGUGGCAGGAACUGCUGCACCCCGGGGGCACUUGGGCCUUAGUCUCCUCCCCGGCCAGGCCUUUCCUAGCGUGGGUUGCCGCUUCCCACAGUGCACUGGGCCUCCCCUCCGGGGAUGGGGACAGUGCAGACGCCAUUAGGUGGCUGUGCCCUCCGUGUGUCCCUGGUGGAGUGCAAGCCGAGCCGGCUCUCCCAGGCCCCCUGGCUGCAUGGUUUGGCAUGGCCAUGCAGUGACAGCCCAGGCUGUGAGCACCGCCGCUCUGCAGAGCCGGGUAAGGGGUGUACCUAUCUCCCUGGUCAGUUUCCUUUCCAGCCGUUUUCAGCCUUGAGAACAUCUUCAAGUUCACAUCCGAGGAAGUGCCCGUGCAGGAUGCGGCUGAGGACUGGCCAAAGCUGGACGUUUCCUUGGGCAUGAGCGGAGAAGAGAAGCCUAUGCACCCGUGGUGGGGCUUCAGUGGGACCUCUCCCCUGGCAGCCCUGCCUUUGCCCUUUGGCGCACGUGGUGCAUCAGGCUUACCUCCAUAGAGACCCCAUCUCUUGUCCAGACCCUGCCUCUCCUCCCUGAGCCCUGUUCAGGGCCUCCCUCCUUCCCUGGAUGCAGCACCACCCACCUCGGGAUGAGUGCUGGGGAGGGCAGAAGGGACUGACGGGCCUGGGCAGUGGUCAGGGCCUUGUACCUCAGCCAUGGGGUUCUAGAAAACAAACCCUGAGUAGAGAGGCCCCUGGUGCUCCGGGCCGUUGGUGGCUCCCGGCCGUUGGUGGCUCCCAGGGUCCUGGGCUGCAGCUUGAGGCCCAAGAUCGCAGACAGUGCUUUGCAGGCGGCCGUUUGCUAAGGACACACUUGCAGCUGCCAUCGGAAAAGAAGCUCUCACUCCUCGGCGGCUUGCAGGGUCGUGGGUGAGGGCUGCAACCUGCUGGCCCAGGGCUCUGGGGACGGCAGUGAGGUUGGUGUGGGCAGGUGCCCUCCACGGAGCAGGUGUCCAGGUGGCUGGGAAGGAGUCCGGGCUGCAUGUGGUGGCUGUGGGUGUGUCUGAGGCCCUUCUGGACUCUGCCCAGGGAACACUCCACAGGACCCUGGGGACCUGCAGGCCAAGGCCUGGACCUAGGUGGGCAACACGCCCUUCAUACGUGCUGCUCCUGGAGAGAAGCAAGAGGACAGCCUGCUGGCCAGGCAGGGGCGAGGAGCGGCAGUGCUGACGUCCCGGGACAUCCAGCCCACAGUGCAAGUCUCAGGGCCAUGUGGAGGCCUGGACACUGGGACCCAGCAGGGCUGGGCACGUGCCAGGCCAGGCAUACCUUUGGGCUAGAGCGAAAUGAGGCUGGCCUGCUCUGAAGCACUGGGGCGUGCCAGGCUGCGCCCCCAGCCUGUCUUCUCCAGAACACAAGUACCAUGGCCACCUCGCGAUGCCUCUGGAGUGGGUCCCACUCCUUGUUCUCGGCAGACGUCACUUGGCUGACCCUCCGGAGACCAGGGCCACCGUGAGGACCACUGGAGGAGCUGCCCCCACCAGCAGCUUCCCUCUGCACCACUGCAGUGCGGAUCCAGACCAAGACCCCCUGGACCAGGAGCUGGUGGCCUGCUCGACAGGUCGGUCGUAAGAAUGAGUCCAAGACUGAGUCCAUCGAGCCCCAGCUCAGCAGACGGUACCCGGGCUACCCAGCCAAGCCCCAGCCAGCACAGGACCCCUCUGCUCCCUCCCGCUCCACCCCCAGCGCUGCAGUGCCUGGUCCUGAGGGCCACCCCUACCCAAGGCCAGCACCAGCCCAGCCUCAAGCAGCCUGAGGAACCAGCAGAUGGCAUAAUGGUUACGUCGCUGGACUCCCACAUAGUCGACCGUGGUUCAAGGCCUGG